AAUUUCUUUCCAGGCUGUAGCGGUGCUCAGCCUCAGUUCCUUCCCCUGGCUGAGCCUUAGGGGCCGCUCCCACCGGCUCCACGUGGUGUCACUCUCGAACUGUCCUGCGCGGGCAGCACAGCUUUCGCCCGGCCAUCCGCCGCCUCCAUCGCUUCCCUUGCAAACAAAGUUCUCCUGGUAACAGAGUGUCUUCAUUUGGGGCUACUCAAACAGUGUUGGACGAACUUUAUCCCCGGAGUAAUUUCACUGGAGUGCAUGUGGCUGCAUGGGGUCUGUCUAUAAAGGGAUUUGAACCAAUGCGUGCUGAACAUUUAUGCAGGAAAUUGUCGAGUUAAAGAAAGAAGCAGAUCAUCUCAUGACAAAGCAGAUGCCUGGAAUCUGUAUUAGAUAAUGUUUAUUAGCUUCCGGUUUUCUACCUCUCUCCCAGAAGAAAUGUAGCUAUUUUAUGUCUCACCUCUAGCAGCAGAUUUGCAUUGAACUUGGGAACACUGACCACAUAAUUCAAGUACAAUGAAAGAAAUUUAUAGGUAAGG
Molecule: long non-coding RNA, 533 nt
Filed under: Anser brachyrhynchus (Pink-footed goose)
Lineage: Eukaryota; Metazoa; Chordata; Aves; Anseriformes; Anatidae
Description: lncRNA (ENSABRG00000018444.1)
Source: RNAcentral